GCGUCCGUGGUGCAACGGUUCAGCACACGCCCCUGGAAAGAGUGAGAUCUGAGUUCGAAUCCCGGCUGGCGCA
Non-coding RNA from Parelaphostrongylus tenuis, 73 nucleotides. NCBI's taxonomy places the organism in Eukaryota, Metazoa, Nematoda, Chromadorea, Rhabditida, Metastrongylidae. The record is from the annotation of a GenBank genome assembly.